Molecule: ribosomal RNA, 403 nt
Filed under: uncultured Candidatus Saccharibacteria bacterium
Lineage: Bacteria; Candidatus Saccharimonadota
Description: partial 16S ribosomal RNA
Rfam family: Bacterial small subunit ribosomal RNA
Source: RNAcentral
UAGGGAAUUUUCCACAAUGGGGGCAACCCUGAUGGAGCAACGCCGCGUGCAGGAUGAAGGCUUUCGGGUCGUAAACUGCUUUUAUGUGAGAAGAAUAUGACGGUAACACAUGAAUAAGGGUCGGCUAACUACGUGCCAGCAGCCGCGGUCAUACGUAGGACCCAAGCGUUAUCCGGAAUUACUGGGCGUAAAGAGUUGCGUAGGUGGUUUGUUAAGCGGUGUGUGAAAUCUUGUGGCUCAACCAUGAGACUAUGCACUGAACUGACAGACUUGAGUAUAGAAGAGGUAUCUGGAAUUCCCAGUGUAGGAGUGAAAUCCGUAGAUAUUGGGAGGAACACCGAUGGCGUAGGCAGGAUACUGGUCUAUUACUGACACUAAGGCACGAAAGCGUGGGGAGCAAACG